UAGGGAAUCUCCCACAAUGGACGCAAGUCUGAUGGAGCAACGCCGCGUGAGUGAAGAAGGUCUUCGGAUCGUAAAACUCUGUUGUUAGAGAAGAACACGAGUGAGAGUAACUGUUCAUUCGAUGACGGUAUCUAACCAGCAAGUCACGGCUAACUACGUACCAG
This 164-nucleotide ribosomal RNA is filed under the name uncultured bacterium. Its description in RNAcentral is "partial 16S rRNA". It matches the Rfam family "Bacterial small subunit ribosomal RNA", at positions 355 to 511 of the family's 1533-position model. The record is from RNAcentral.